This 520-nucleotide ribosomal RNA is filed under the name uncultured Glomus. RNAcentral's name for it is "SSU rRNA". It matches the Rfam family "Eukaryotic small subunit ribosomal RNA", at positions 569 to 1093 of the family's 1831-position model. Lineage: Eukaryota; Fungi; Glomeromycota; Glomeromycetes; Glomerales; Glomeraceae. The record is from RNAcentral.
AGCAGCCGCGGUAAUUCCAGCUCCAAUAGCGUAUAUUAAAGUUGUUGCAGUUAAAAGCUCGUAGUUGAAUUUCGGGAUCAAUACGUCGGUCGUGCUUCGGUACGUACUGGCGUAAUUGAUUUCUCCCUUCUGACGAACCAUGAUGUCAUUAACUUGGUGUCAUGGGAAAUCAGGACUGUUACUUUGAAAAAAUUAGAGUGUUUAAGGCAGGCUCACGCUUGAAUACAUUAGCAUGGAAUAAUGAAAUAGGACGUUUGAUCCUAUUUUGUUGGUUUCUAGGAUUGACGUAAUGAUUAAUAGGGAUAGUUGGGGGCAUUAGUAUUCAAUUGUCAGAGGUGAAAUUCUUGGAUUUAUUGAAGACUAACUACUGCGAAAGCAUUUGUCAAGAUGUUUUCAUUAAUCAAGAACGAAAGUUAGGGGAUCGAAGACGAUCAGAUACCGUCGUAGUCUUAACCAUAAACUAUGCCGACUAGGGAUCGGAUGAUGUUAAUUUUUUAAUGACUCAUUCGGCGCCUUACGG